GGUUGAUCCUGCCAGUAGUCUAUGCUUGUCUCAAAGAUUAAGCCAUGCAUGUGUCAGUAUAAAACCAAUAUGGUUGAAACUGCGAACGGCUCAUUAUAUCAGUUAUCGUUUACUCGAUUAAAGUGAAGCUUCGGCUUGACGGAUAACUGUGGGAAACCUAUAGCUAAUACGUGAAAAAGGUGGUAAAACACCCGUCCAGCCUAUUUCCUUCGGGGGAUGGGUUUGGAAGAGUUUAUUAGUCAUAUAUCUGUUUUACUCUUUACGGGGUAGGCAGAGGGGAUCCAUACAACAG
RNAcentral lists this ribosomal RNA (292 nucleotides) under uncultured eukaryote. RNAcentral describes it as "partial 18S ribosomal RNA". It matches the Rfam family "Eukaryotic small subunit ribosomal RNA", at positions 6 to 262 of the family's 1831-position model. The record is from RNAcentral.